GGAGAAAAACAAAAAACAAUAUUCUUAGUAAAGGUUUUAAUUCAGAACCUUUCAGUAAAGUCUUUUCCUAUCAAUCACAUGGCAACAGUGCAGUUUUUCAUGUACUCACAACAAAAUUCAUUGUGUUUUAAUGACAAUUUAAGUGUCAUUAAAACACUUAAUGACACUUAAAUUUUCAUUGGACAUGUUUUCAUGAGCAAAACUUUUCACCUCUCUGAUGAAUCAGAUAAUAACCUUUUGUUGCAAAAUUCAGAUUCUGCUUUAAAUAAAAUAUAUUUUCAAAGGUUUCUUACAUCACCCUGAACAAACCAACCGCACUGUGAAACAUGGUUGCAUCAGCCUCAUGCUGUGAGUCUGCUUACAUCAGCAGUGACUAAGAAGCUGGUAAGAGUUUACAGGAAGGUGGAUGGAGUUAAGUCCAGGACGAUCCAGGAAGAAAAGCUGUUUCAUACUUGAGACUCGGGAGAAAGCUCACCUUCCAAAAGAACAACCACCCUAAAAAUACAGCCAGAGCUACGAUGGAAACAUUUAUAUCAGUGAUAUCAACUAUCAAUACUCAACGACUGGUAUUCUCAAUGUCUUAGAUCUUUUCCUGGUUGGGUGUGAAUACUUUUGUUAUGUAUCAGUGUUUAGAAUCUAAACCAAACCAAAGCAAGUACGUAUCUGUUGUUUCACUGAGGAUUAAUGUAUGUCACGUCCAGCUGAGUUAUUACCACAUCUCUUCAACAGUAAUGCAUUUCCAAGAGACUCCAGGAUUAAAUGAAUGCUCUGUCACGACCUUCAUAUUUAAUGACGCCUUAUGGUUGACAGGUUCUGAAUUUUAUGCUAGUUCUGAAGGAAGAGAAAGUUAAACACUUGAAACAUUUUCUUCUUAAAUUGUGUUCAGUGAGAGACAGGUGUUGUUGACCAUGCAUACAUAACAAGAAAGAUUUUCUGAGUAGGUUGUCAUAUUUGGUGAUUUGCCUUUACAUACUUAUGUGAUAUGUCCUUUCCCUGUAUCCAUUUUCUGUGCAUGAAUCAAAUGAUAGAUGGUGGCUGGAACUGAUCUAAAGCAGCCAUUGGGUAAGACUGAGGGAUGGAAUCUCAUCAUUCCCUCUUACUGGUCCCAGCUCAUAAGUGGGCCCUGCUGGUUUAUUUUCAGCACAUUUUAUUACAAAAAUCAUAGGACUUUUUUAGUUCUUUUGUUCUUGUCAUGAGAUUUUCUUCUUAUGUUAGCAGUGCUUUGUUUUAUCAUGGAUUUUUAAUCCUAAGAUUGCCCUAUCACUGCUCUAGUGAUGCUAAAGGUAUUUAUUUGCAAGUUAAUUUAAAUGUUAUAGACAUAUUUCAUCACUAAGCAGUAGUCUCAUUUACAGUCUCCUUUGUUCUCUCAGCUUUGCUCUGUUUGAGGUCGAUGCCAGGAGUCAUUUGGCAUAAGAUGGGAAACCCAAAGGACAGGUGGCCUGUUCAUUGUCCUUCUUGGUCCAAAUAAAAAUACAUAAAUAAAAUGAAAUAAAGAUAAAAGUCAUGACAAAAAACAUCAUGAGUGAUUGAAGAGAAAUCUUCACACAAGGGUCAAUGCCAGAAAUCCACUGCUUAAAGGAAGGACUCAUAGAUCCCAUUGGCAGCAGUUUUGCUCAUGUUUUCACCUCUCUGAUCAAUCAGGUAAUAAUCUUUUGUUGCAAAAUUCAGAUUCUGCUUUAAAUAAAAUAUAUUUUAAGUACUUUAUUAGAAUCAGAAUGAUUUUAUUGUUAUUGUACCGAAAUCUGUUUUUGAAGGAGAGUCAGAUAUUUUUAGGUACUUUGCUGUCUGUCGAUGUCGAUUCUGCUCAGAUUGGACGUUGACCUCUUUUAUGUGAACAUCUUAGUCAGGAAUCACCUAUUCAUGCAGAUCUACAUCCAUUACCUAUCUGUGAGUAUAUUCACCUGUGAAUAGGUAAAUAUACAAUAGAAACGUUCUACUUUCCUAUUGUAUCAAAUGCUUACUUUGUGCAAUAAAAUGCAAAUUAAUAAUCAUACAGUAUUUUUUUUGAUAGGACAAUGUGUUUUUGUGAAUUUUUUACGUAAUGUUUCUCAAGGUUGAUAUGUACCAACAAUGAAAAUUCUGGACCUCCACUGUUUGUAAGAAAACGUAAAAAAUAAAUAAAAAUCCGCAGUGUGUCAAAUACUUUUGUUCCCUCACUGUGUUUUCUGAAAGGGCCUGCACAGCAGGUGUGGUUGAAACCAUGCAGUGAUGACAAUCUGGUUGGUAGAUUAAAGCCAAAAAACACACCCUGACCACAUUUGGAUAGAGGGUCCUAAUCCUUUCUUGCCAAUAACACACAUUGAUUGGGCCAUGGUUGGUACUAGAACUUUUGUUCUUCUCCCUUGCAAUCAUAGUUCAUGUUGCAUAAAAUUCACCACAAAAUCUAAAUUUAUGAGUUAUAUUUGAAAAUGCCAAAAAGUUAGUGGAGCAUAAAUAAUUUUCCAAAAAUUUUAACUUGCCAGUUUUCCUUUUCUACUUGUUUGUACCGUUAAAAAAAAAAAAGGUUAUCAAAAAAAUAACAGUCUUCUGCCUUUAAUGCCUCCCUCACUACUUUUGGCAGCCACAACUUCCUCAUUGGAACCAAGAACAAAGCUGCUCGGCUCAAGCAUCCCUGAAAGCUUCCCAUGUUUCAGACGGAUUCUGUGUUGGCAAACACUUGAUCCAUUUUUCAGAACACACUGAGCCAGAAGCAGAGUAUUUUCUAGGAUAAUAAACUGGACCAGCACAAUACUGUGCCCUUCACUCAGUCAGAGGAAUUUUGCCCAGGAAUUUGUGCUAAAUCUCCUGCAGAGUCAUCACUGCUGAACUCUGCAGCCCAUUAGGAUGUUAGUGUCAGUUUAUUGAGGGCCCUAACAAGCAACUGAAGAAAAGUGUGUCCAAGUAAAUUGAGGCCUUUUGGGAGACAAAGCUGAGCAAAGACUUCUGAAACUAAGUAAUUACAAAUUUUAGAUGGUCUACUGAUUUUUUUACACUAAAGGAAUGAAAGUCAAUUUAUAUCUGCAACACUAGAGCAGAUUUCCAGUCAGUGGCUACAAUCAUGCAGCCUACUGGAGCCUCUUUUUAAAACUCUUCACUAUUUCAUAAGAGUUUGUUUGCUUUGUGUUGAAGACCCUGAACAUCCCUACUUCUAAAAAUAAUUUACAGUCUUAUUGUUUUUCUGUUUCUACAUUUGCUUUUUCACAGGAAUUUUAAAUGGUAGCCAUUUAAAAUUUUACCAGAGUCAAGAAAAAUCUAAUUUGAUUGGUGACCAUGAAUGAAGUAUCACUUUGCUCUAGCUGGAUAAAUCCUCCUACACUUUAGAGAGUGUGCCUGUUAGUGUCCUACAUCAAUCAUAAUAUUGGGGUAUAGUACAAUGGAAACACAAUAUUCAUGUUUUACCUAAAAUAUUUGACCCAAGUUGUGGUUAAUUUGAUUAUGUACAAACAUUUCUAAAAAGUGUUAUUAUUAUUCUCAUACUUAGAUCAAAAUAAUUCAGUUAACUGAGGGAAAAGGGGAAGCUUUAGUCAGAUUUAACAUCAAAUAAAAUGAAUAAAAACCAAUUAUUUGGUUUCAACAGUAUUACUGGUAGCUGAUAGAAGCAGCACCUCUGCCUGAUUAAACUGCCUCCUUAGGAAGGGUCAAAACAGUCAUCCAGUAAGGUUCGCCCUCCAGCUGGUAGCUGCAUAUGGAGCCACACAAAAACGAUUGCUGGCAUGUGGUAAGAGUUCCCUCAAGGCCUGUCAUUGCUGUACAAACAUAUGUUAGAACAGACAUCACCCCUCCCACUGAAUGCAUUAGAGAUAGAUUAAACAGAACACUUUAAACCUUCCUCGCCUAUAGAACCGCCAAUUAUCUUACCUCAAUAAUUUACAUCCAGAUUUUUGUAAUAAUUGAGAUUUAUUUUUUUUCCCCCAUGAUUAAUUUUACCAAACACUCCCUCUAUUUCUUCUGGCAAGUAAAUUAAAAGUGAAAUAAACUUCAACAGUGUGAUGCAACAGAUGCUUUAACCUGUUAAGCCCGACGGACCCUCCGAGGGUUCCAGCUGCCAUGUGACCUCGACUCGCUCUGUAAACAAAGGCUCCGUGUGCCUUUAAAUUUUUUUUUUUAUUAUUAUCCGCUAAAAGAGGCUUUAAUCUUUCAAAAACUAUUCCGCAUAAAGGUUUUGCCCAAAAUGUUAAGAUUUUAGAGCUAUUUAAAAACAGCUGAUGAGAUUUAAAGGUCCUCGGGCGAUGACGCAACUGCCCGGAAAACCCCCGAUCAGCUGAUCAUCACGGCCAUUUUAUGGCUCCACGAGACAGUGGAAAGACUCUCAGAGUAUGGCACAAGAUGUCGGCUAUGCAAAAUCAUGACGUAUUUUUCGGAACCCGAUCUAAAUGUGUGCGUAAUUUAUGCGUUCUCGGCGCGUUCUCGGUGCGCUCUCGUGCAUAAGCACGUGUGGUACACGGGAGUCUGAGCACGUGGAGUUAUCUCGGUUCCGUGAGUUCAGUUUUGAUUUUUUUUAUGAUAAAUCGAUCAUAGCAGCAGAAACUGGACGAUUUAGAGGCUUUUGAAGGCUUUUGAACAACAACGGUUUUCCGAUUUGCUACGAGUGGAGCUAAAUCUUCUGAUAGCUGGUGGGAUUCGGACGAGGAGGAAGAGGAAGAGCCGGACACAGCUGACAGACUUGAUCUCGGUGAUGUUCGAGUGGAAGCCGAACCAUCAAGCUCGGGUGACGCUGAACCUCCCCCCACCUCCCCCACCUCUCAUGAUUCUUCACCUUCUUUGAGGCAGGGUCAAAGCUACAAUGGUGCUGACACCAGAAAACCAUUCUAUGACAUCUUACCUUUACAGAGGUACCAAAAGUUUCUUAUUAAAUCUAAUAGCUGUGAGGCUAUAAGUGAUUUACUUUUGUGUGUUUUUGUCAGGCGGAAAUUUAUUUAUACCCCCUUAGGGGGUAAGAGGACUUGGAGAAGCUGGAAUGAAUUCAGUGUUGUGUCCCUCUGGUAGCUUCUAGAUGUCCAUGAACAAUAUUUACAUUGUUACACUGCAAGGAGACAUGUUUCUAAUCAAUAAAAUGUAACUUGAGACUGAAAACGUAAAUACAUUUUGACCGAGAUGGCUCCUGGGAUCCUCCUAGAAAUGGGAACACGGUCAUGUUUACUCUCCUAGGUUAAAUGUUCUACUCCAAGAGUUUAUGAUAGUUUCCCACCAAGUUGUUUCCAAGUUUGGUGGAGUCAAUGUAAACCUUUCCAGGGUAGUGUUCAAGAAGUUCUCUUCUACCAAAUAUCUUUGAGUUUUUUAUCUGACCACUGCACUUGUCAUGUAAUGGUUCCAUAGAAAACUGUGUGUGCAGCUUCAAGUGGUCUGCCUGUUAUGGGGUAGUGUGUCUUUCUAAUGAAAGUCCCGUUUGGAUUCAGAUCAUUAAAAAGCUCAUCUGUAGUUGUAUGUUGGUCCUUCACCAUUUUAUCAUCAGCAUAGCCUCAUAAGGUAAAAUCUCAGGCUGGACUCCAGAAAGAUGGUGAUUAAUGAUAAUUUUAUCUCUUAUGUUUCUUUCCUUUAUUAGCUCUUUGGUUUGACCUUUUCAGGUUCAAAUGAAAAUCAAUUGCAGUUAAAGAUUUCUGGGUUCAAAUCUUUGUUAAAGACUUCUGAGUGGAGUCUGUAGGUUCUGCCGGUGUAUGUGUCGGUUCUCUCUGGGUAAAGUGUCUUCUUCACACAGUUCAAAACACACAGACGGUCAAAAUGUGCACGUAUGCUCAGUUGUAUCUCUUGUUGGGUUCUGUGUUGCCCUGGAGAUGAACUGGUGACCUGUCGGUAGGUCUCCCAACCAUCACUAGAGACAGUGUAUCUGUGCCACUGCAAGGACAAAGUGGGUAUAAAAAUGGAUAAAUGGUGUGUUUCACACACACAACAUGCUGGCUCAAACAUUUCUGAUUGACUGAAGUGUUGGUGCCAUAUGGAGACUAAGAUAAAGUGCCAGAAUCCAAGCUAGAACAUAAGGGGAUUAAAUGUCACUUUCACUCAAUGGGAUAAAAAUCAAGUGAAGAUUUACAGUAGAAAUAAGAUCUUUACCUACACUGUAAAAAAUCUAACACAUUUUAUUUUGCUUCAUUUGGAAUUAGACUACAUUUUCUAGGAAUUACAAAGUCUACUUUUAUCUGAAGAAGAGCAGAUAUAAUUUUAAACUCAGAAAUGUUCUCCUAAUUUCUUAGUACUUGGUCAAACCUUUAAACUUUACAACUUGGGUCAAAUGAUUUGGUUUGCUGUAAUUUUCACCAAUUCCUCUGAACAGAACUUGUGUUCAGAUUUUAGACCCUCUUAAACAGGAUGAUUAGUGGACAUUGCUAUGCUGUUCAUAAAAUAGUUUGGACAGAGGAAGGAGGAACCUUCCGAUAUCUUCAAAGUCCACAAUUCUUUUUCAGAUAUUUGGACAGAUCUUUUGAUUUUGUACAAGAAGCCAAAGUGGUUUAUUUGUUGCCUGAACAGUUUGUUAACUGACCCAUAAGGAACAGUAAUGUUUGUUGAAUGUUUGCUUUUGAUUUCAAAGAAACAUAAUGUGCUUCAUCAU
Molecule: long non-coding RNA, 6523 nt
Organism: Poecilia reticulata (guppy)
Lineage: Eukaryota; Metazoa; Chordata; Actinopteri; Cyprinodontiformes; Poeciliidae
Source: RefSeq, a predicted model, not a curated record